UGUUGCGAUAUAAUAUGGCUCCUACAUUUCUAUGACAAUGCAAAUAAUAAUUCUGUGUGCUUCCACAGUGGGCACAGGUGCAGUUUCAUCAAAAGCCAGCCAGACGAUCUUCGAAUAGCAAACCCGAAGGCAGAGAUGGUGUCUGGGGCACAUUGCUAGGGUUCAGUCUAAAGCAGGAAAAGAGUUAUAUGUGUCCUGUAGCUGACAGCCCACAUGGUUUAAGACGAUUCAAGAAGAGGCUGGAUGAGAUCCCUGCCACUAGAGAAAGAGGCUCAAUGGUCUCCCCUUGUUUGUAACCUUACAAGGUUCAUCUGAGGUUAUUUUCCUUUUGAAAAACGUGCCAAUCGAACAAGCAUUUUUAAACCUCUUUUAAGGUGUUGACAUUUGAGUACUAGAAAUAGCUUUACAUAGACUUCCAAAUGCAUUGUUGAAUUCAGCUCAAUAAUGCCUUCUCUCCCUGUGACUAGUUUCUAGUGAUGAAUCUGCCACAGUUAUGAAUUCUAAUUCGGAACUAAUUCUAGUUAGGAAUUAG
RNAcentral lists this long non-coding RNA (532 nucleotides) under Lepisosteus oculatus (spotted gar). RNAcentral's name for it is "lncRNA (ENSLOCG00000021510.1)". Lineage: Eukaryota; Metazoa; Chordata; Actinopteri; Semionotiformes; Lepisosteidae. The record is from RNAcentral.